GCAGUCUUCAUGUUUCCAGUGUCUUUUCCCCUACUUGGAACUGACCCAGAAGGAUAUUUCUUCCAACAUUUCUCUGACAGUGCUGAAAAUAAGCUGGAAGGAAGGGCUCAAAUGGCAGCACAGAAAGGACAUGCCUAGCAAACCCUAGCACCUCAAAGUUUCUUCGUGUGUCCUAAAGAGGCAUCCUUGCUUGUGGCUUAUUGAUUCAUCCUGUUUUCAUUGCUUAGACAGAAAGAAACUCAGACCUGGAUCUUUUGUGUGUGACAGCAUUCUGACCCCAGUUUUGUUAUUGAUAUGGAGACUAAAUGUGUCUUUGAAAGAGCAGAGAUGAUGAUUGCAGCAAAGACUGAAGAUCCAGUGAAUAGACAGAUUCUUUGGAACCUCUGCAAACAAGGAUCAGGGAUCAGUCAUCUUACCAUCUUACUUAACCAACAAAGCUAUUAAAGAUCUUCGGAACAACAAAUUUGAAAAGCCACCUGAUGCUGCAAUCAAGAAAAGUUGAAGCAAUGCCCAUUACCCAUGCUUUAUACAUGAUGGCCUUCCCAGUCUCUUGUGUUAUAAUUCAUUCCAUCCAAUCUUAAACAGGUAGAACAUUAAACAAGCAUGAAAUUGC
Non-coding RNA from Pantherophis guttatus, 613 nucleotides. Lineage: Eukaryota; Metazoa; Chordata; Lepidosauria; Squamata; Colubridae. The record is from RefSeq and is a predicted model, not a curated record.